Molecule: ribosomal RNA, 264 nt
Filed under: uncultured bacterium
Lineage: Bacteria
Description: partial 16S ribosomal RNA
Rfam family: Bacterial small subunit ribosomal RNA
Source: RNAcentral
GCAAGUCGUACGUGAAAGUGGACUUCGGUCCGCAAGUAAAGUGGCGCACGGGUGAGUAACACGUGGAUAAUCUACCCGACAAUACGGGAUAACAUUUCGAAAGGAAUGCUAAUACCGAAUAAGCCUACGCCCUCCUCGGAGGAAGUAGGAAAAGGUGGGGACCUUCGGGCCUACCGUUGUCGGAUGAGUCCGCGUCCCAUUAGCUAGUUGGUAGGGUAAUGGCCUACCAAGGCUACGAUGGGUAGCUGGUCUGAGAGGAUGAUC